GGUAAGUUAUGGUUUAUUCUAUUUGAUAGAUAAACUUUCAAUAGUGAUUAAUAUGUAUUGAAUGAUAUUGUGUAGUACUCUAUGUACUUGAUUGUGCGAUUGUGUAACUUGGUUUUGUGGUUUGUGGGGCCUGAAAUCGUGAGACCAUGAAAUUUAUAAUCUUGAACCCUCUCUAUCGAACUGAUGCCUGGAAUAAAGAAGACUUGAUGAAAUAUUGUUAAUGAAUUGAUAAGUGGUGAUAAUAAAUGAU
Molecule: unclassified non-coding RNA, 250 nt
Filed under: Hevea brasiliensis (rubber tree)
Lineage: Eukaryota; Viridiplantae; Streptophyta; Magnoliopsida; Malpighiales; Euphorbiaceae
Source: RNAcentral